AGCUCCGGUGGUCUAGUGGUUUGAGCGUCAGCCUGGAAUGCGGGAGGGCGCGGGUUCGAAACCCAGACGAGUCA
Non-coding RNA from Potamilus streckersoni, 74 nucleotides. The record is from the annotation of a GenBank genome assembly. Lineage: Eukaryota; Metazoa; Mollusca; Bivalvia; Unionida; Unionidae.